This 478-nucleotide ribosomal RNA is filed under the name uncultured bacterium. RNAcentral's name for it is "partial 16S ribosomal RNA". It matches the Rfam family "Bacterial small subunit ribosomal RNA", at positions 28 to 507 of the family's 1533-position model. The record is from RNAcentral.
GAUGAACGCUGGCGGCGUGCUUAACACAUGCAAGUCGAACGGGAAACCUUUUAUUGCAGCUUCGGCAGAUUUAGCUGGUUUCUAGUGGCGGACGGGUGAGUAACGCGUGGGUAACCUGCCUUAUACAGGUGGAUAACAGUCAGAAAUGGCUGCUAAUACCGCAUAAGCGCACAGAGCUGCAUGGCUCAGUGUGAAAAACUCCGGUGGUAUAAGAUGGACCCGCGUUGGAUUAGCUGGUUGGUGGGGUAACGGCCCACCAAGGCGACGAUCCAUAGCCGGCCUGAGAGGGUGAACGGCCACAUUGGGACGGAGACACGGCCCAGACUCCUACGGGAGGCAGCAGUGGGGAAUAUUGCACAAUGGGGGAAACCCUGAUGCAGCGACGCCGCGUGAAGGAAGAAGUAUCGCGGUAUGUAAACUUCUAUCAGCAGGGAAGAUAAUGACGGUACCUGACUAAGAAGCCCCGGCUAACUACGUG